Molecule: long non-coding RNA, 1684 nt
Filed under: Homo sapiens (human)
Lineage: Eukaryota; Metazoa; Chordata; Mammalia; Primates; Hominidae
Description: HSALNT0329893
Source: RNAcentral
CAUUUAGUAAUUUAGACUUUGAAGCCAUUGGAAGAAUCUUAAUUAAACCUUUUUUAGGCAUGAAAAAAUAGCUAUUACAGUGCUUGCAAAACCUAUCUUUCGCUUGGCUCAUGCGUUAUUAGGAUGAUGCUUAAAUUAUUAUUUUUUAAUGUAACUGUGUCUCCUUUAUUAAGAAAUGUUGACUAGACAAGUGAUCUGUCCAAAUUUAAAACUAGAAAUAGAACCUUUAUCUCCCACCCUGUCUGAAUUAUUCUUUCCAUAUGUAGCUGCUUAGUUGUGUCUUUACCACUAAUUAACCAUGUGAACUCUAAGCAAGUUAUUUUACUUUUCUUCAUCUUUUUAUCUUUUGUAAAAUUAGGGGGUUAUUAUGAAUCAUUUCUAACAUCUCUGCUAAUGCCCCAGAUACUGUAAAUGACCCAGAAUGUAAUUGCGGGCAGUGUUAACUUAGCUUCCUAGAAGAUGGGGGAUAUGACUGGGCCUUGAAUAAAAUCCAAGAUUUGGCAGAGUAGAGAGGGAAAGAAUUCAUGAGAUGGGGAGCAGUAGAACAAAGGCUUAGGUGUGAAUAUGUGGCUGUAGUAAAGAGAAAUGGCCUGAUUAUAGCAAUUAUAUGAGGUUUAGUAGAACCAUUUAAGAAAGGUAAAGCCACUUCAUAGAAAUUAUUUUAUCCCUGAUUUAAAGGGUUCAUGGGAUUGGGUCAGGCCCACUUGGAUGAUUCCCCUUUCUUAAAAGUCAGUUGUGCCUGAGCCAGGCAUGGUGCUAUAUGCCUGUAGGCCCCACUACUUGGGAGGCUGAGGCAGGAGGAUUGCUGGAGCUCAGGAGUUCAAGGCCAGCCUGGCAACAUAGUGAGACCUUGUCUCAAAAACAAACAAACAAACAAAAAAACAUAGACCAAAAAAAAAGUCAAUUUUGCCUAAAAUGUAAUCUAAUCACAGGAAUGAUAUCCUAUCAUAUUCACAGUCCUGAUGAUUAUACAGGGUGUGUACAUCAGGCUAGCAAUCUUGGGGGACAUCUUAGACUUCCACCUAUCACAUUAAACAUGUUCCUCACACUAAAUUAGCCCAUGAGCAAGGGUGGAUGUCAGAAAAGAGAGAAGUAGGAGUGUAUACCGAGGGAGUUAGUGAAUUGUGUUGUGAUUAUACAUAUAAGAAAACCUGGCUGGGCAUGAUGGCAGGUGCCUUGUAAUCCCAGCUACUCAGGAGGCUGAGGCAGGAGAAUCACUUGAACCCAGGAGGUGGAGGUUGCAGUGAGCCAAGAACACAAAAACCUUUGUAGUUCCCAGGGAUCCUGGGCCUCCUAGAAUCGUCAGAGUGUAAGGACCAAGUGGCAUUCAGCUGUGCUGUUCUGGUGGUAGUCCAUUUAGCCAAGAACUCAAAUAUAAUUGUAGUUGUCUAUUACAACUUAGCCUUAACAAAAUCUUUAGAAAGUAAUGAAAUACAGGCUUACAGUGUGGGUUUAUAUUUCCCGUGUGCUGGCCACAUGGUUCUUGCAAUUACCGUCCAUGAUUAACUGUCCAUGUGAAGCACAGAAGUAGGAAUUAGAAACACUUUUUGCUAUGUAGAAUGUACUCUGUGUUCAGAGUAAUGUUUAGUCAUACUCUCUUUUUAGAUCCCUGCUAACCUCUCUGCUGCUAAGAACUACCCAAUUACCUUUUGCUUGGCUACAUGAGCAUCCUGUGCCAAGAGAC